UUUGUAUUAUUUUCUAUUUGUCCACAAUUUCUGAACACAAAAGGUAAACGCCGUGGCAGUAGCACAGAAGCAACCCGCUUGCUUGCUCUCGCUGCCGGAAUAAGAAUGCUGCGAAUGAAUGUUGUCACUCGCGUCGAGGUGUUGUAUCUCCGCGCGCGUCUUUUACCAGGCAAGCAGAAAAAUAAGUUGGGUACCUGCGACAAAAGCGAUUUCGAUUUCUCAUACAUGCUUACGAAUUUUGGACGCUGCAGAAUAUAAUUUUAAUGGUUACAUGUGCGUGAGCGUGAAAGAGUAAGCUAUAGUCUUCUGCACAGAAGAAGACUACCAGCUAACAUGUGCUGUUGCAGAGUGUGCACCAAAUGGCGAUAGAUGGCGCAACAUUGGUUUGUGUAUUGGCUAAUGAACUGUGAAUUUUUUUUAGACUUAUAUUUUGGAUAUGAUCGACGAUGCCGAACUGAGAUAUAAUGUCAACAGCUAAAAUUUUGGUAAAAAAUAGUUUUUUUCUUCUCUGAAUUUGGUACUGGAGAUUGAAAGGACUCAACUUUAAAUUAUUUUACUUUCAUUGCCGUCAAAAGUGAUGUAAAUAAUAAAAUCAAUGAAAUAUAUCUGCAAGAGUUACUGAUCUGUGGUCGUUGUAUUAGUCUGAGGGGACUGGUACAGCAGGAGAUAUUAAUGGAUUACAAGUUGAAUAUUUGGCUUAGUACGAAUACAUUAUCCUAAUAGGAUCAAUAUCAGCGGAUAACUGUUUAAGGAAAAUGAAGUUAUUCUCAAGAAUGACAAUAACAGCAGUCAUCAGAUAAUUCUAUAUAUCAAUGUCACCAAGAAAAAUUGUGAUUAAAAUUAAAUGUUAAUAUAAUACAAGGCAGCUCUAAAUACU
Molecule: long non-coding RNA, 877 nt
Organism: Teleopsis dalmanni
Lineage: Eukaryota; Metazoa; Arthropoda; Insecta; Diptera; Diopsidae
Exons: 3
Source: RefSeq, a predicted model, not a curated record